UGCGUAGGCGGGGCAAUUAGUCAGUGGUGAAAUCCUGCGGCUUAACCGUAGAACUGCCAUUGAUACUGUUGCCCUUGAGUAUAGUUGAGGUGGGCGGAAUGUGUAAUGUAGCGGUGAAAUGCAUAGAGAUUACACAGAACACCAAUUGCGAAGGCAGCUCACUAAGCUAUAACUGACGCUGAGGCACGAAAGCGUGGGGAGCGAACAGGAUUAGAUACCCUGGUAGUC
Molecule: ribosomal RNA, 228 nt
Filed under: uncultured bacterium
Lineage: Bacteria
Description: partial 16S ribosomal RNA
Rfam family: Bacterial small subunit ribosomal RNA
Source: RNAcentral